GAUGAGCGCUGGCGGCGUGCCUAAUACAUGCAAGUCGAGCGAACGGACGAGAAGCUUGCUUCUCUGAUGUUAGCGGCGGACGGGUGAGUAACACGUGGAUAACCUACCUAUAAGACUGGGAUAACUUCGGGAAACCGGAGCUAAUACCGGAUGAUAUUUUGAACCGCAUGGUUCAAAAGUGAAAGACGGUCUUGCUGUCACUUAUAGAUGGAUCCGCGCUGCAUUAGCUAGUUGGUAAGGUAACGGCUUACCAAGGCAACGAUGCAUAGCCGACCUGAGAGGGGGAUCGGCCCACCUGGAACUGGGACACGGUCCAGACCCCUACGGGAGGCAGCAGUAGGGAACCUUCCGCAAUGGGCGAAAGCCGAACGGAGCAACGCCGCGUGAUUGAUGAAGGUCUUCGGAUCGUAAAACUCUGUUUUAGGGAAGAACAUAUGUGUAAGUAACUGUGCACAUCUUGACGGUACCUAAUCAGAAAGCCACGGCUAACUACGUG
Molecule: ribosomal RNA, 496 nt
Filed under: uncultured bacterium
Lineage: Bacteria
Description: partial 16S ribosomal RNA
Rfam family: Bacterial small subunit ribosomal RNA
Source: RNAcentral